AAUAAUCUGAUCAUCUAGUUUUUAAAAUCUACAAUAUAAACUGUCUAUUAUAUAAUCUGGGUGGUUCCAAACAGGGCCUAAGAAAUGUAUAUUAUCCGUUUGUCUGUUAUCUCCUUGUUUCCACCGUAGCUUAAAUUUGAUGAUAUUUAAUAGAUUAAAUAGAAAAAAUAUAUCAGCAAAUUGGCCACCAUGGGAGAAUCACUGACCUUAUUUUGGUUGCGACCAAGUACAUUCAAAUGAUUUGACAAGAGUUCCAUCCACCCGUACAUUUCCCCUUACAUUUUUGUGAUGUAGUGUACAACCAUUCUUGAAAUUCUUACUGUGUUUGGUAUAUAUAUGACACCAUCUCCUUUUUUUAUCCGUGUGAAUAUAUGGCUGCACAAAAAAACAAGUGCAAAAUUAUUGUUUUUGGUAUGUGUAGCUCUUACUUAAGAAGUACCCACAUUUGAAUAAUCAUACAUAAAAUGUUGCGGCACUUAAUUCCCGUGAAAAUUACUAACGACGACUUGGUGAAAAUAUCAUAGAGCUAAACUUGAAGGUUCAUUUAUAGUUAUGUAGCCUGUUUGUGACGUUUGAGAUGUGUACAAAAAUUUUAGAGUAACUGGUCAAGAAUAGAACGCGUCGUGAGAUUAUGCCUGAAAUGCAGGAAUAGGGAAAGUGCAGUAUUGUAAUGUUUCAUAGCAUGUUGAAUUCCUACAGAGAUGAUAGGAAAAAUUCUUAUCCUGAUUAUGAUAUUCCCGUGGUGCAACCCUAUGAUCAAAAUAGGAAAACAAAUUAAGCAGAGGAAUGUUAUGUAUGCUAACACGCAGAGUGUGAAGGAAGAAACACUAUGAUGCUCUACUCACAGAGGCCAGAUAUCAUGUUUGUUUUCCUCCGAAAUUUGGAGGGAAAUUUCUGAUCCUAUGAGGUGCUGCUGCAAACCAAAUAUAUGAUCUAAACGAAAAGAUUAUAUUGGUGGUGUGGUGCCCAUGCGGCGGUAGCGUGCGCGCACGAGCGGAUGAGCAGUUGGAUGGCAGGCAGCGAUCGGCCGGAGCUUUAUUUUGUUCCAUGGGUGCAGGUGGUGGGUGCCGACCUGACCCGUCGCAUCCAAUCCAACCAACCAAGCAACCCUCUGAAUUUUCUCUGCAAAUGCUACUACCUUACCUAGUCGUCUAGCUGCCCACUACUGUACCAGUAGUGUCGAGAAAGCAAGCAGGCAUGGCUGGCAUGAGAAUAUACUGUACCUAGCUAGCUCGUUUGCUCCAUGCAUGCAUGUACAACUAUACUAUACGUGUACAAUCGUAUGCAUACAGUAGAGAGCAGCAGUGCUGCAUAUGUAGACCGAUUGACCGAUCGAUCACUGCCGUACGUACGUGCUA
Molecule: long non-coding RNA, 1358 nt
Organism: Hordeum vulgare subsp. vulgare (domesticated barley)
Lineage: Eukaryota; Viridiplantae; Streptophyta; Magnoliopsida; Poales; Poaceae
Exons: 2
Source: RefSeq, a predicted model, not a curated record